UACGAAGGGGGCUAGCGUUGCUCGGAAUUACUGGGCGUAAAGGGCGCGUAGGCGGACAGUUUAGUCAGAGGUGAAAGCCCAGGGCUCAACCUUGGAAUUGCCUUUGAUACUGGCUGUCUUGAGUCCGGGAGAGGUGAGUGGAACUGCGAGUGUAGAGGUGAAAUUCGUAGAUAUUCGCAAGAACACCAGUGGCGAAGGCGGCUCACUGGCCCGGUACUGACGCUGAGGUGCGAAAGCGUGGGGAGCAAACAGGG
Molecule: ribosomal RNA, 254 nt
Filed under: uncultured bacterium
Lineage: Bacteria
Description: partial 16S ribosomal RNA
Rfam family: Bacterial small subunit ribosomal RNA
Source: RNAcentral